RNAcentral lists this ribosomal RNA (253 nucleotides) under uncultured bacterium. RNAcentral's name for it is "partial 16S ribosomal RNA". It matches the Rfam family "Bacterial small subunit ribosomal RNA", at positions 524 to 776 of the family's 1533-position model. The record is from RNAcentral.
UACGGGGGGGGCAAGCGUUGUUCGGAAUUACUGGGCGUAAAGGGCGCGUAGGCGGCCAUCUAAGUCAGACGUGAAAUCCCCCGGCUUAACCUGGGAACUGCGUCUGAUACUGGAAGGCUCGAGUUUGGGAGAGGGAUGUGGAAUUCCAGGUGUAGCGGUGAAAUGCGUAGAUAUCUGGAGGAACACCGGUGGCGAAGGCGGCAUCCUGGACCAACACUGACGCUGAGGCGCGAAAGCUAGGGGAGCAAACGGG